Molecule: ribosomal RNA, 630 nt
Filed under: uncultured Amanita
Lineage: Eukaryota; Fungi; Basidiomycota; Agaricomycetes; Agaricales; Amanitaceae
Description: eukaryotic LSU rRNA
Rfam family: 5.8S ribosomal RNA (bases 258-411)
Source: RNAcentral
AAAGUCGUAACAAGGUUUCCGUAGGUGAACCUGCGGAAGGAUCAUUAUUGAAAUAAAACUCAGGCAGGGGGGAGUGUGGUUGUAGCUGGUCCCCUAAUAAGGGCAUGUGCACACUGUCUCUUUCUCUUGUUUGUUUUUUCAUUCUUUCCACUUGUGCACUGCUUGUAGGCAGCCUGGCAUUGUUCGGGUUGUCUAUGAUUUUAUUUUACAUACAUGAAUCAUUGUUGUACAGAAUGUGAUAAAAAAAAUAAUAAUACAACUUUCAACAACGGAUCUCUUGGCUCUCGCAUCGAUGAAGAACGCAGCGAAAUGCGAUAAGUAAUGUGAAUUGCAGAAUUCAGUGAAUCAUCGAAUCUUUGAACGCAUCUUGCGCUCCUUGGUAUUCCGAGGAGCAUGCCUGUUUGAGUGUCAUUAAAUUCUGUCAAAACAUGCACUUGAGUGUGUUUUGGAUUGUGGGAGUGUCUGCUGGCUUUAUAUGAGUCAGCUCUCCUGAAAGACAUUAGCUUUGGAGGGAUGUGCCAAGUCACUUCUGCCUUUCCAUUGGUGUGAUAGAUGAAUAAACUUAUCUACGCCAGGAAAGCAGGUUGCAGGUGAUGCACUGUGAUCUCUCUGCUCUCUAAUUGACAUUUG